Molecule: small nucleolar RNA, 76 nt
Filed under: Mus spicilegus (steppe mouse)
Lineage: Eukaryota; Metazoa; Chordata; Mammalia; Rodentia; Muridae
Description: Small nucleolar RNA SNORD113/SNORD114 family (ENSMSIG00000007340.1)
Source: RNAcentral
UGGAUCAAUGAAGAGAACUUGGGGGAUCUGAACUAAGAUAUUGUAACUAAACCUGUGUAUGACUCUUGAGGUCUUU